Molecule: ribosomal RNA, 185 nt
Filed under: Staphylococcus aureus
Lineage: Bacteria; Bacillati; Bacillota; Bacilli; Caryophanales; Staphylococcaceae
Description: partial 16S ribosomal RNA
Rfam family: Bacterial small subunit ribosomal RNA
Source: RNAcentral
UUUUAUGGAGAGUUUGAUCCUGGCUCAGGAUGAACGCUGGCGGCGUGCCUAAUACAUGCAAGUCGAGCGAACGGAUGAGAAGCUUGCUUCUCUGAUGUUAGCGGCGGACGGGUGAGUAACACGUGGAUAACCUACCUAUAAGACUGGGAUAACUUCGGGAAACCGGAGCUAAUACCGGAUAAUAU